RNAcentral lists this ribosomal RNA (533 nucleotides) under Chaetomium sp. Its description in RNAcentral is "eukaryotic LSU rRNA". It matches the Rfam family "Eukaryotic large subunit ribosomal RNA", at positions 108 to 667 of the family's 3401-position model. Lineage: Eukaryota; Fungi; Ascomycota; Sordariomycetes; Sordariales; Chaetomiaceae. The record is from RNAcentral.
CUCAAAUUUGAAAUCUGGCUUCGGCCCGAGUUGUAAUUUGCAGAGGAAGCUUUAGGCGCGGCACUUUCUGAGUCCCCUGGAACGGGGCGCCAUAGAGGGUGAGAGCCCCGUAUAGUUAGAUGCCUAGCCUGUGUAAAGCUCCUUCGACGAGUCGAGUAGUUUGGGAAUGCUGCUCAAAAUGGGAGGUAAAUUUCUUCUAAAGCUAAAUACCGGCCAGAGACCGAUAGCGCACAAGUAGAGUGAUCGAAAGAUGAAAAGCACUUUGAAAAGAGGGUUAAAUAGCACGUGAAAUUGUUGAAAGGGAAGCGCUUGUGACCAGACUUGCGCCGGGCAGAUCAUCCGGUGUUCUCACCGGUGCACUCUGCCCGGCUCAGGCCAGCAUCGGUUCUCGCGGGGGGAUAAAGGCCCUGGGAACGUAGCUCCUCCGGGAGUGUUAUAGCCCGGGGCGUAAUGCCCUCGCGGGGACCGAGGUUCGCGCAUCUGCAAGGAUGCUGGCGUAAUGGUCAUCAGCGACCCGUCUUGAAACACGGACC